Molecule: long non-coding RNA, 2945 nt
Filed under: Malus domestica (apple)
Lineage: Eukaryota; Viridiplantae; Streptophyta; Magnoliopsida; Rosales; Rosaceae
Description: long non-coding RNA (MDOM_LNC016324)
Source: RNAcentral
UAGGUUAGUUUUGAGUUCAGUAUUUUCAAACAUUUCAACCAAAAAAGUAUUCAAGAUGUAACUUAAAAGGAUUUUUUAGUCUAAAAACUUGAAUUCAAAUAAAGUACCAAAUAUGCUCUAAUUAUGUACAAUGUCACCUCAAAUGUCACAUACAUAUUCAAUAGUCUAUUCAGUAGAAGAAGUUUAAUACACAUAUGAAAAAUGUAUCUUUUUUCUUUUAGAUAGUAUAUGAACAAUUACCUUAAACACACUUUGUAUUAUAAUUGGACUGGCCAAUAAUUUUUUUUUUUUAUAAUACAACAAUUUAAUUUAUCAAACAACGGAGGAUGGGCAACCAAAACAGGUCAUCAAUAAUAUUAUGGGUUCGAACUUUUUAUUCAUAAGAUUCGAACUUAAGAUCUCUCAUUUAUUAAUAAAGAAGAAUACAUGUAGAACUCAUUGGCUAAUGUCUUAUUCAUGCUGAAAACUCAAAUUUUCAUUUCAGCAAACAUUCUCUCGCAUGGUAUCAUGUUCUUUAGUAUCCAUUGACUAAUGUGUAGUUGAAUUGGCUGGAGGAUAGUAAAGCUACCGUUAAAUUCAAAUCGUGUAGGGAUAUGGUUGAAUGAGACAACUACAUAAGUAAAAGUGAAUUUGGUAAUGAUAGUAAGUUAACUUAUUAACCUUGUCCUUUGGGCUGGUUAAUCGGUGUGAUUACACAAAAUGGAACCACUUGUAACAUUUAACUGAUUUGACCCCAAUCUAAAUCUCUCUUUUUGUUGUUGUGUGUGCGCCUUUUUACAACUGGUGUGAGAAGGAGGGAAUGAAUACAUGCAUUUGGUUCAAAGGUAAACCAAUAAUAUUAUGACGUAUUUACUUAACAUGAAUCAGAAUAGUAAAGGAUCCGGAAAUAUUUGGAAUAAAAGAAGUGGAGAAAGAAAAUCGGAUUAACUAGUUCAACUAGUUGUUUUAUUCUAGAUUUUUAAGUAUUAGUUUACAAAUUUUAAGAAAAAACUACAACUUUCCAGAUGCCAUAUUUGAUAAUAAACACAUAAAAAGUUAAGAAUUAAAAUAAUAUUAGUACUCUUAUUUUAAUAAACACAAAAAACUCAAAUAUUAUAAUCUUUCAAUUUGUAUUCGCAUAAGUAAAUACACCAUUAACUACUUCACCUACAAGCUCUUUUACUUCUGUUUGUAUUUUUUUUUUAAUUUGCAUAUUCCAUAAUGAAUCAGGUAUGCAUUAUAGUAAGGCUUAGUUGGAUCAAUAGUCCCCCUAGUGAUUCGUUAGUUGGAAGAAUCCGUCUAGUAAAACAAAUUAGGAUUUAAACUAUUGUGGUGACAAGGAGGAUCCUCACCGGAUCCUCUUUGUAAGGAUCCUGAGAUUCUCCAAUCACAUCUGUUCAUCGUACAUCGUGUGGUCAGAAAUCAUUGUAAUUUUUUUAUUUAAAAUUGAAUAUAAACAGUACCUGAUAAAAACUAGCCGCACGAUGUACUAUGAAUGGAUGUGAUUGGAGGAUCCCUGGGAUCCUCACAAAGAGGAUUUGGCGAGGAUCCUCUCUCUUGUAGUGAAGUCUACUAUGAUUUAGGCCCAAAACUAAAGGUUCUGUCAAAACUCUGUUAACUUUAUCUGUUUAGCCACACAUGUAAUCCUCACAUGCUAACAAUUAACAGAGAGUUAGCGAACAUUUUAAUUUGGGAUCUAAAUCCUAAUGAACUUUACCACAAAGGUUUAAUAUUUAGAUCUUAAUUAUUUUUUUAUUAUUUUUGUCUCAAUGGCUAUCUUUAUACUACUCUAUCACUACAUGAACUAGUAAUCUAAUAGGCCUUAUAUAGUAAACAUGGGAGAUCAUUUCAAGACACAUCAAGUGCAAUGCACGUGCCUUGCCAAUAUGAGACCUGCAUCACUAAAUGGUAAAAAUAAGUUGCAUCACCUUGUAACUUGUAUGAUAUAUGGAAUGGGGACUGGGCAGGUCAAACUUUGGGAGUGGAGAUGGAGAUGGAUCAUCUUUACUUCUGGGCUUCAAUGAAAUCCUUCUGUGAAAAUCAAUAACUAUGGGUUUGAUCAGCUGAGCUUUUGGGCCAGAGGAUCUCUUGUUUAUUGGACUCAUGAGAUUUCUGGGACAUUCAUUGGACCGUAGGUCCGUGUAUAAGUCCAAUAUUGUGGACAGGUGUCAUGGGUCAGACUCCAGAUUAGGCAAGGACCUCACGAUGUGUGUUACUGCUGCGCUUGCACUGUAACUUGUCCUUUACAAUUUGUCCUUGUCAAUUUGACAAAACAUGGUGUGUAACCUGUCGUAUCCUUUGAGCUAACGUUUGUUGACGAUGUUAGGGCAUUUGUAUUUGGAAGACAGGAGAGUGUUGUGAUGCCAUUCGUGUUACUGCUAUUUGAGAUGUGGAUCCUUUGUCUAUAGUAAUCGUAGUUUCUUUUGCUAGAUUUCUAUGUGACUGUUUAGGCCAAGAAUCUACAUUUCUGGUAUUAUGGUUGUGAACUGUUGAUGCUCUCUGCUUGUAAUGUGUAAUUUUUCGUCAAAUGAAUUGGAAUAUGACCUUGUUGUAGAGUGAUAAUUGCUCCUUGUUAAUGCUUCUCUCCUUGUAUCUUCCCAUCUGUCUCAAACAUGUUAGCUAUUGUUCCCUUAAUUGAUGUCUUCUAUGUUGAAAAUUAGUAAUAUCUUGACAAGCCAGAAAGGAAUUUGAUGCAUUUGACGAACAUGAACCAACUAACCAAGUGUAGAAGACAAACUUAAGGAUAAUGUUAGACCUACUUCUACUUGAGCUUGCUGACAGAUAAUUGACUUUGUAUGUGCAACUUAUCAAUGGCAUUUAUCAAUGCCAUGGGCUCGUAUAUUCUUUUGAAUUGCUUCUUGACGUCUCUGCCACUAAAUAUGAGGUUUUGUGAAGAACUGCAUUCACUGUGUUGAUGCACAAAAUCAGCGAAGACUUUGGUACAACAGAAAGUGUCAGGUUUUGUG